RNAcentral lists this ribosomal RNA (253 nucleotides) under uncultured bacterium. Its description in RNAcentral is "partial 16S ribosomal RNA". It matches the Rfam family "Bacterial small subunit ribosomal RNA", at positions 524 to 776 of the family's 1533-position model. The record is from RNAcentral.
UACGUAGGGGGCAAGCGUUGUCCGGAUUUAUUGGGCGUAAAGAGCGUGUAGGCGGCCACACAGGUCUGCUGUGAAAACUCGAGGCUCAACCUCGAGCUGUCGGUGGAAACCGUGUGGCUAGAGUCCGGAAGAGGAGAGUGGAAUUCCUGGUGUAGCGGUGAAAUGCGCAGAUAUCAGGAAGAACACCCGUGGCGAAGGCGGCUCUCUGGGACGGUACUGACGCUGAGGUGCGAAAGCGUGGGGAGCAAACAGG